This 1521-nucleotide ribosomal RNA is filed under the name metagenome. Its description in RNAcentral is "bacterial SSU rRNA". It matches the Rfam family "Bacterial small subunit ribosomal RNA". The record is from RNAcentral.
AGAGUUUGAUUCUGGCUCAGAACGAACGCUGGCGGCGUGGAUUAGGCAUGCAAGUCGAACGGUUCGCUGUUUUCUUUGAAAACAGCGGAUAGUGGCAAACGGGUGAGUAACGCGUAGGUAAUCUGCCUCUGAAAUCGGGAUAACUUUGCGAAAGCGAGGCUAAUACCGAAUAAGACCACGGUCCUCAUGGACUGCGGUCAAAGAUGGCCUCUAUUUAUAAGCUGUCGAUUGGAGAGGAGCCUGCGUCCUAUCAGCUUGUUGGUAGGGUAAUGGCCUACCAAGGCAUUUGACGGGUAGCUGGUCUGAGAGGAUGGUCAGCCAUACUGGGACUGAGACACUGCCCAGACUCCUACGGGAGGCUGCAGUCGAGAAUCUUUAGCAAUGGGGGAAACCCUGACUAUGCGACGCCGCGUGAGCGAUGAAGAUCUUCGGAUUGUAAAGCUCUGUCAGCCCUGAAAAAUAUCUUUACCUAAACAGGGUAAAGGCUUGAUUGUAAGGGCAGAGGAAGCCACGGCUAACUCCGUGCCAGCAGCCGCGGUAAUACGGAGGUGGCAAGCGUUGUUCGGAUUCAUUGGGUGUAAAGGGCAUGUAGGUGUCCCUUCGAGUUCCGAUUGAAAUCCUCCGGCUCAACCGGAGAACGUGUCGGAAUACUGAUGGGAUUGAGUGCAGGAGAGGAGAACGGAAUUCCCGGUGUAAGGGUGAAAUCUGUAGAUAUCGGGAGGAACACCAGUGGCGAAGGCGGUUCUCUGGACUGUUACUGACACUGAAAUGCGAAAGCAAGGGGAGCAAACAGGAUUAGAUACCCUGGUAGUCCUUGCCGUAAACGAUGUUCACUAGGUGUAGGCUCGAAAGAGUCUGUGCCGCAGUUAACACAUUAAGUGAACCACCUGGGGACUACGGCCGCAAGGUUGAAACUCAAAGAAAUUGACGGGGACCCGCACAAGCGGUGGAGCAUGUGGUUUAAUACGACGAUACGCGUGGAACCUUACCAGGACUUGACAUGUUCCUGAAAGCCUUAUGAAAGUAGGGCCCUCCCUUAAAGACAGGUACACAGGUGUUGCAUGGCUGUCGUCAGCUCGUGUCGUGAGAUGUUGGGUUAAGUCCCGCAACGAGCGCAACCAUUGUUCUUAGUUGCUAAUGCCGAUUCGUCGGCAUGCACUCUAGGAAGACUGCCGGUGUUUUAGCAGGAGAAAGGUGGUGACGACGUCAAGUCAGUACGGCCCUUACGUCCUGGGCCACACACGUGCUACAAUGGGGUAUACAAAGAGAAGCGAUACCGCGAGGUGAAGCAAAUCUCAGAAAGUACCCCCCAGUUCAGAUUGGAGGCUGAAAUUCGCCUCCAUGAAGUCGGAAUCGCUAGUAACCGCGCAUCAGCCACGGCGCAGUGAAUACGUUCCCGGGUCUUGUACACACCGCCCGUCAAGUCACCUGAGUCGAGUGCACCCGAAGCCGCUAUACCAACCGCAAGGAGGAAGGCGUCGAAGGUGUGUUCGGUAAGGAGGACUAAGUCGUAACAAGGUG